This 497-nucleotide ribosomal RNA is filed under the name uncultured soil bacterium. Its description in RNAcentral is "bacterial SSU rRNA". It matches the Rfam family "Bacterial small subunit ribosomal RNA", at positions 26 to 517 of the family's 1533-position model. The record is from RNAcentral.
AGAUUGAACGCUGGCGGAAUGCUUUACACAUGCAAGUCGAGCGGCAGCGCGGGGGCAACCCUGGCGGCGAGCGGCGAACGGGUGAGUAAUACAUCGGAACGUGUCCUGGAGUGGGGGAUAGCUCGGCGAAAGCCGGAUUAAUACCGCAUAAGCUCUGAGGAGGAAAGCGGGGGAUUCGCAAGGACCUCGCGCUGUUGGAGCGGCCGAUGUCGGAUUAGCUAGUUGGUGGGGUAAAGGCCCACCAAGGCGACGAUCCGUAGCUGGUCUGAGAGGAUGAUCAGCCACACUGGAACUGAGACACGGUCCAGACUCCUACGGAGGCAGCAGUGGGAAUUUUGGACAAUGGGGGCAACCCUGAUCCAGCCAUUCCGCGUGAGUGAAGAAGGCCUUCGGUUGUAAAGCUCUUUCGGACGGAACGAAAUAGGUUAACGGCUAACACCUGUGACUGAUGACGGUACCGUAAGAAGAAGCACGGACUAACUACGUGCCAGCAGCCG